ACUGCCAUUUGAUUGAAUGGUCAUCAUGGAGCUCUUGCCAGCUGACCUGUCUGGAGGGGCGGAGCUUUGAGGCCACAGGUCGCCAAGCCCGUUCCAGAGCUGUGAUCAUUCAGGUCAUGGAGAACCAAGCAAGCUGCCCACAUCAAGUGUUUGAGACCCAACACUGCAAAGGAGGGAAAUGCCACAGUUACCAAUGGAGGACGGGGGCAUGGAGCAACAACGAAAGAGCAGUGUGGUGUCAACGCGCAGACGGUGUCAACGUGACAGGGGGGUGUUUCCCACAGAACAGGCCAACC
Long non-coding RNA from Thalassophryne amazonica, 296 nucleotides. RefSeq lists it as uncharacterized. The transcript has 3 exons. The record is from RefSeq and is a predicted model, not a curated record. NCBI's taxonomy places the organism in Eukaryota, Metazoa, Chordata, Actinopteri, Batrachoidiformes, Batrachoididae.